Small nuclear RNA from Ochotona princeps (American pika), 107 nucleotides. Lineage: Eukaryota; Metazoa; Chordata; Mammalia; Lagomorpha; Ochotonidae. The record is from Ensembl.
CUUCUCACUUACGCAGCACAUAUACUAAAAUUGGAACAAUACAGAAAAGAUUAGCAUGGCCCCUACACAAGGAUGACAUGCAAAUUCCUGAAGCAUUCCAUAUUAAA